UACGUAGGGGGCAAGCGUUGUCCGGAAUCAUUGGGCGUAAAGCGCGUGUAGGCGGCUCCGUAAGUCCGUUGUGAAAGUCCAGGGCUCAACCCUGGAAUGCCGAUGGAUACUGCGGAGCUAGAGUCCGGAGGAGGCGAGUGGAAUUCCUGGUGUAGCGGUGAAAUGCGCAGAUAUCAGGAGGAACACCAAUGGCGAAGGCAGCUCGCUGGGACGGUACUGACGCUGAGACGCGAAAGCGUGGGGAGCAAACAGG
RNAcentral lists this ribosomal RNA (253 nucleotides) under uncultured bacterium. RNAcentral's name for it is "partial 16S ribosomal RNA". It matches the Rfam family "Bacterial small subunit ribosomal RNA", at positions 524 to 776 of the family's 1533-position model. The record is from RNAcentral.